This 442-nucleotide ribosomal RNA is filed under the name uncultured bacterium. RNAcentral describes it as "partial 16S ribosomal RNA". It matches the Rfam family "Bacterial small subunit ribosomal RNA", at positions 338 to 795 of the family's 1533-position model. The record is from RNAcentral.
CCUACGGGAGGCUGCAGUGGGGAAUAUUGGGCAAUGGGCGCAAGCCUGACCCAGCAACGCCGCGUGAAGGAAGAAGGCUUUCGGCUUGUAAACUUCUGUCGACAGGGAAGAGCAGAAGACGGUACCUGUCGAAUAAGCCACGGCUAACCACGCGCCAGCAGCCGCGGUAAUACGUAGGUGGCAAGCGUUGUCCGGAUUUACUGGGUGUAAAGGGCGGGUAGCCGGGCUGACAAGUCAGAUGUGAACUCCGGGGGCUCAACCCCCGAACUGCAUUUGAAACUGUUGGUCUUGAGUACAGGAGAGGCAGGCGGAAUUCCUAGUGUAGCGGUGAAAUGCGUAGAUAUUAGGAGGAACACCAGUGGCGAAGGCGGCCUGCUGGACGGCGACUGACGGUGAGGCGCGAAGGCGUGGGGAGCAAACAGGAUUAGAUACCCCAGUAGUC